CUUGUCUAGGCCUUUCUGUCCUACCUUUUCCCUACUCUCCUUUCCCUUUUUUCCAGGGUGUAGGACUGUGUGUCCUUAUGUCCCUCCAAUGAGAUUUUUCUCAAUAGGUCUGAGGGGACACUAGGGCCUUUCUCAAUCGUAUAUUUUUCAUCAGAAUUUGUAAAGGAAUAAUGAGUCUGCAGGCUGUGAGGGUCACAGCAGUUUGUUACUGUAUCCCUAUGUCUUGUCUGAAUAAGAUUACAUGAACUUCAGCUCCAGCAUACUGUCUGGACACACCAAGGGAGUGAAGAAAGGGAGCAUCUCCUCAGUAUGCUAAGCUGCUAGCUGUGCCCUGAGCC
This 338-nucleotide long non-coding RNA is filed under the name Numida meleagris (helmeted guineafowl). RNAcentral's name for it is "lncRNA (ENSNMEG00000012949.1)". Lineage: Eukaryota; Metazoa; Chordata; Aves; Galliformes; Numididae. The record is from RNAcentral.